This is a long non-coding RNA of Puntigrus tetrazona (Sumatra barb), 174 nucleotides long. RefSeq lists it as uncharacterized. NCBI's taxonomy places the organism in Eukaryota, Metazoa, Chordata, Actinopteri, Cypriniformes, Cyprinidae. The transcript has 3 exons. The record is from RefSeq and is a predicted model, not a curated record.
CCUCCGCCCACCACACCCUCCGACCCAGGACUCGUUAUGAAGAAUAUUCUUAUGAUGAGAGCUACACAGAGGCAGGCUAUGAAUCCUAUGACAGCUACUACAAUCAGCCACAAGCAGAACCAGAAUACUAUGACUAUGGACAUGGAGAGACACAGGAAGGCUAUAGAAAACUAC